RNAcentral lists this ribosomal RNA (402 nucleotides) under uncultured bacterium. RNAcentral describes it as "bacterial SSU rRNA". It matches the Rfam family "Bacterial small subunit ribosomal RNA", at positions 355 to 774 of the family's 1533-position model. The record is from RNAcentral.
UGGGGAAUAUUGGACAAUGGGGGAAACCCUGAUCCAGCAAUGCCGCGUGAGUGAAGAAGGCCUUAGGGUUGUAAAGCUCUUUCGCCCGCGAAGAUAAUGACGGUAGCGGGAGAAGAAGCCCCGGCUAACUCCGUGCCAGCAGCCGCGGUAAUACGGAGGGGGCUAGCGUUGUUCGGAAUUACUGGGCGUAAAGCGUACGUAGGCGGAUGCGCAAGUUGGGGGUGAAAUCCCGGGGCUUAACCUCGGAACUGCCAUUGAUACUAUAUGUCUUGAAUAUUGUGGAGGUAAGCGGAAUAUGUCAUGUAGCGGUGAAAUGCAUAGAUAUGACAUAGAACACCGAUUGCGGAGGCAGCUUGCUACGCAAAUAUUGACGCUGAGGCACGAAAGCGUGGGGAUCAAACA